RNAcentral lists this ribosomal RNA (1346 nucleotides) under uncultured bacterium. RNAcentral's name for it is "partial 16S ribosomal RNA". It matches the Rfam family "Bacterial small subunit ribosomal RNA", at positions 28 to 1381 of the family's 1533-position model. The record is from RNAcentral.
GACGAACGCUGGCGGCGUGCUUAACACAUGCAAGUCGAACGGAAAGGCCCUGCUUUUGUGGGGUGCUCGAGUGGCGAACGGGUGAGUAACACGUGAGUAACCUGCCCUUGACUUUGGGAUAACUUCAGGAAACUGGGGCUAAUACCGGAUAGGAGCUCCUGCUGCAUGGUGGGGGUUGGAAAGUUUCGGCGGUUGGGGAUGGACUCGCGGCUUAUCAGCUUGUUGGUGGGGUAGUGGCUUACCAAGGCUUUGACGGGUAGCCGGCCUGAGAGGGUGACCGGCCACAUUGGGACUGAGAUACGGCCCAGACUCCUACGGGAGGCAGCAGUGGGGAAUAUUGCACAAUGGGCGGAAGCCUGAUGCAGCAACGCCGCGUGCGGGAUGACGGCCUUCGGGUUGUAAACCGCUUUCGCCUGUGACGAAGCGUGAGUGACGGUAAUGGGUAAAGAAGCACCGGCUAACUACGUGCCAGCAGCCGCGGUGAUACGUAGGGUGCGAGCGUUGUCCGGAUUUAUUGGGCGUAAAGGGCUCGUAGGUGGUUGAUCGCGUCGGAAGUGUAAUCUUGGGGCUUAACCCUGAGCGUGCUUUCGAUACGGGUUGACUUGAGGAAGGUAGGGGAGAAUGGAAUUCCUGGUGGAGCGGUGGAAUGCGCAGAUAUCAGGAGGAACACCAGUGGCGAAGGCGGUUCUCUGGGCCUUUCCUGACGCUGAGGAGCGAAAGCGUGGGGAGCGAACAGGCUUAGAUACCCUGGUAGUCCACGCUGUAAACGGUGGGUACUAGGUGUGGGGUCCAUUCCACGGGUUCCGUGCCGUAGCUAACGCUUUAAGUACCCCGCCUGGGGAGUACGGCCGCGAGGCUAAAACUCAAAGGAAUUGACGGGGCCCCGCACAAGCGGCGGAGCAUGCGGAUUAAUUCGAUGCAACGCGUAGAACCUUACCUGGGUUUGACAUGGAUCGGGAGUGCUCAGAGAUGGGUGUGCCUCUUUUGGGGUCGGUUCACAGGUGGUGCAUGGCUGUCGUCAGCUCGUGUCGUGAGAUGUUGGGUUAAGUCCCGCAGCGAGCGCAACCCUUGUUCACUGUUGCCAGCACGUUAUGGUGGGGACUCAGUGGAGACCGCCGGGGUCAACUCGGAGGAAGGUGGGGAUGACGUCAAGUCAUCAUGCCCCUUAUGUCCAGGGCUUCACGCAUGCUACAAUGGCUGGUACAGAGAGUGGCGAGCCUGUGAGGGUGAGCGAAUCUCGGAAAGCCGGUCUCAGUUCGGAUUGGGGUCUGCAACUCGACCUCAUGAAGUCGGAGUCGCUAGUAAUCGCAGAUCAGCAACGCUGCGGCGAAUAAGGGCCCGGGGCU